This 274-nucleotide ribosomal RNA is filed under the name uncultured bacterium. RNAcentral describes it as "partial 16S ribosomal RNA". It matches the Rfam family "Bacterial small subunit ribosomal RNA", at positions 523 to 796 of the family's 1533-position model. The record is from RNAcentral.
AUACGGAGGAUGCAAGCGUUACUCGGAAUCACUGGGCGUAAAGCGCGCGCAGGCGGCUAUUUAAGUUGGAUGUGAAAGCCUACGGCUCAACCGUAGAACUGCAUCCAAAACUAUUUAGCUAGAGUGUGGGAGAGGAAGAUGGAAUUAGUUGUGUAGGGGUAAAAUCCGUAGAGAUAACUAGGAAUACCAAAAGCGAAGGCAAUCUUCUGGAACACUACUGACGCUGAGGCGCGAAAGCGUGGGGAGCAAACGGGAUUAGAAACCCUAGUAGUCC